RNAcentral lists this transfer RNA (79 nucleotides) under Acidimicrobiaceae bacterium. Its description in RNAcentral is "tRNA-Arg". It matches the Rfam family "tRNA". Rfam says of the family: Transfer RNA (tRNA) molecules are approximately 80 nucleotides in length. Their secondary structure includes four short double-helical elements and three loops (D, anti-codon, and T loops). Further hydrogen bonds mediate the characteristic L-shaped molecular structure. tRNAs have two regions of fundamental functional importance: the anti-codon, which is responsible for specific mRNA codon recognition, and the 3' end, to which the tRNAs corresponding amino acid is attached (by aminoacyl-tRNA synthetases). tRNAs cope with the degeneracy of the genetic code in two manners: having more than one tRNA (with a specific anti-codon) for a particular amino acid; and 'wobble' base-pairing, i.e. permitting non-standard base-pairing at the 3rd anti-codon position. The record is from RNAcentral. Lineage: Bacteria; Bacillati; Actinomycetota; Acidimicrobiia; Acidimicrobiales; Acidimicrobiaceae.
CGCCCUCGUAGCUCAGUCGGAUAGAGCGACCGCCUCCUAAGCGGUAGGCCGCAGGUUCGAUUCCUGCCGAGGGCGCCCA